RNAcentral lists this ribosomal RNA (423 nucleotides) under uncultured bacterium. RNAcentral describes it as "bacterial SSU rRNA". It matches the Rfam family "Bacterial small subunit ribosomal RNA", at positions 355 to 774 of the family's 1533-position model. The record is from RNAcentral.
UGAGGAAUAUUGGUCAAUGGGCGCGAGCCUGAACCAGCCAAGUAGCGUGAAGGAUGAAGGUCCUAUGGAUUGUAAACUUCUUUUAUAGCAGAAUAAAGUGACCCACGUGUGGGUUUUUGUAUGUAUGCUAUGAAUAACGAUCGGCUAACUCCGUGCCAGCAGCCGCGGUAAUACGGAGGAUCCGAGCGUUAUCCGGAUUUAUUGGGUUUAAAGGGUGCGUAGGCGGAAAGAUAAGUCAGCCUGUGAAAGUUUGCGGCUCAACCGUAAAAUUGCAGUUGAUACUGUUUUUCUUGAGUGUACAUAAGGUAGGCGGAAUUCGUGGUGUAGCGGUGAAAUGCUUAGAUAUCACGAAGAACUCCGAUUGCGAAGGCAGCUUACCGGGGUACAACUGACGCUGAUGCACGAAAGUGUGGGUAUCAAACA